AGUAUUUUGACUAUACAAAGGUAUUGAAAUAAGAUUUUAAUUGAAUGCUAAAAGAAAGAAUAAACAAAAAAAUUCUUUUUUAAUUUUAAAAAUUAAAGUUAAUUUUAUUUGUGCAGAAGCAAUAAUAAAAUUUAAAGACAAGAAGACCCUAAGAAUUUUAAAUUAAUUAUUUAUAUAAAAUAAAUAAAAUUAUAAAUAUAAUUAAUUUAAUUGGGGCGAUUAAUAAAUAUAACUAACUUUAUUUAAACAUAAAAGGAUCCACUAAUAAUGAUUAUAUGAUAAAAUACUCUAGGGAUAACAGCGUAAUAAUUUUUGAUAGUUCUUAUAGACAAAAUAGUUUGCGACCUCGAUGUUGGAUUGGGAUUCUUAUUUAAGGAGAAGUUAAAAUAGGAAGUUUGUUCAACUUUUAAAAUCCC
RNAcentral lists this ribosomal RNA (416 nucleotides) under Amblyomma exornatum. RNAcentral's name for it is "partial large subunit ribosomal RNA". Lineage: Eukaryota; Metazoa; Arthropoda; Arachnida; Ixodida; Ixodidae. The record is from RNAcentral.